GGAGUGAAUUGCCUUACAGUAGGUUGUCAUGCUGUUUCUUUUUCUUCUUUUUUUUUUCAACUGCCAUCUGUGCUCCAGAAUUCAGGUUUUCACUAAAGCAAAAAUCAGCUGUAAGGAUUUCAGUCUCAUUCACAUUAAAACCCCUUGGAAUAACUGAGAAGCUGAUUGUAUAGUUACAAAGAAAAAAUCCGAAAUUCCAUCCCCUUCUCUUCCAGCUUGUAUAUAAUCCUCAUCAGUUUAAAAUUUGUGGACUUCUAGAGCUGUGUAGAGUCAUAUAGAGGCACAAAGAGAAACCAAAUACCAAGUGUUGUAGUGAAGAUCCUUUACCUUUCUGCAAGUUUGCAAUUGCAUCUUUGAGAGCUUUGAUCAAAGGGAACUUACAUCUAAGCAUGUCUGUCUAGAGCUUAGUUGUCCAGGCCAUGUUACCCUACCUGAUGUACAAAACUGGCACAGAAAAUAGUGGCAGAAUGCUUAGCUUCAGUCUCUCUGCUUCUGUGACUUCAGCAAGCUUAUCCUUCUUCAGCUUGCAAAUUUACAGGCUUGAUUCUCCACUCAGCCUGUAGAGGAUUUCCUAAAAGGCACCAUCAACAGAGCUGGCUUCUUCCUUCUUUAUGGACCAAAGUGCAUUCUAAACUAACUCCCUGCGUGUCACUCAAGGACUGAUACUGCUUGGAUC
This is a long non-coding RNA of Neopsephotus bourkii (Bourke's parrot), 676 nucleotides long. RefSeq lists it as uncharacterized. Lineage: Eukaryota; Metazoa; Chordata; Aves; Psittaciformes; Psittacidae. The record is from RefSeq and is a predicted model, not a curated record. The transcript has 3 exons.